GGCGGCGCGGCGCGCACAGAGCCCCUGGAGCUGCGCGGCCGGCGCGGCGCAAAGUUAGCCCGGCGCCCCGGGACGAGCCCCGCAGCCGCCCGCUGGCCCUGGACCCCGCGUCGACAUGGGCGAGCACCCCAGCCCGGGCCCCGCAGUGGCCGCCUGCGCCGAGGCGGAGCGCAUCGAGGAGCUGGAACCCGAGGCCGAGGAGCGGCCGCCCGCGGCGCCGGAGGACCACUGGAAAGUCCUGUUUGAUCAGUUUGACCCUGGGAACACAGGCUACAUCAGCACAGGCAAGUUCCGGAGCCUCCUGGAGAGCCACAGCUCCAAGCUCGACCCGCACAAAAGGGAGGUGCUCCUGGCUCUCGCCGACAGCCAUGCAGAUGGGCAGAUCUGCUACCAGGAUUUUGUCAACCUGAUGAGCAACAAGCGGUCCAACAGCUUCCGCCAGGCCAUCCUGCAGGGAAACCGCAGGCUCUGCAGCAAAGCCCUCCUGGAGGAGAAGGGGCUGAACCUCUCCCAGCGGCUGAUCCGCCACGUGGCCUACGAGACCCUGCCCCGGGAGAUAGACCGGAAGUGGUACUACGACAGUUACACCUGCUGCCCCCCACCCUGGUUCAUGAUCACCGUCACAUUGCUGGAGGUUGCCUUUUUCCUUUACAACGGAGUGUCGCUGGAUCAGUUUGUGCUGCAGGUGACCCAUCCGCGAUACCUGAAGAACUCACUGGUUUACCACCCGCAGCUCCGCGCACAGGCCUGGCGCUACCUGACCUACAUCUUCAUGCACGCGGGGAUAGAACACCUGGGACUCAACGUGGUGCUGCAGCUCCUCGUGGGGGUACCCUUGGAGAUGGUGCACGGAGCAACCCGUAUUGGGCUUGUCUAUGUGGCUGGUGUUGUAGCAGGGUCCUUGGCGGUGUCUGUGGCUGACAUGACGGCUCCAGUCGUGGGCUCCUCUGGAGGGGUGUAUGCGCUUGUCUCUGCCCAUCUGGCUAACAUUGUGAUGAACUGGUCAGGCAUGAAGUGUCAAUUCAAGCUGCUGCGGAUGGCUGUGGCCUUGAUCUGCAUGAGCAUGGAGUUCGGGCGGGCCGUGUGGCUCCGGUUCCACCCAUCGGCCUACCCUCCGUGUCCUCACCCGAGCUUUGUGGCACACUUGGGCGGCGUGGCUGUGGGGAUCACGCUGGGUGUGGUGGUCUUGAGGAACUACGAGCAGAGGCUACAGGACCAGUCCCUGUGGUGGAUUUUUGUGACCAUGUACACGGUCUUUGUUCUGUUCGCUGUCUUCUGGAACAUCUUCGCCUACUCCCUGCUGGACUUAAAGCUGCCACCGCCUCCUUAAGGCACUGGGGGCCCGAGGUCUGGGAGGGGAGGGCCGAGCUGCAGCAGGAAGGAGCGCAUACGGACAUCCUCGUUCUCAGCUCCGUGGAGACCGAGGAGGACAGGACGCAAGGCUGGGCCACGGGGUGAGAAGACUGUGAACCAGAAGACUCUAGAAAGGCCCCAGAGAAGCACCCAGUUCCCUCAGGGCUGAAGAUGGAAGUUUGCUACCAAGAAGGACUACCUAAGGCGGACAUCCUACAUGCCAUCCUGUCUGAGACGCACCAAGCGACCCACCUGUCGGCAGGUCCCAAAGGAACCCAGAAGUUCUUUAGUCCGCUUCACGCCACACCUGCCCAACCAUCAGCUCCAAACAGGGCCACCCACUGGGGCUCCACGGUCACUCCUCACAACCCAGGUCUCCAAACCAGGGCCAGAGAUCAUUGUCUGGUAAGAAAGGUUUCUGUUUUGGUGUCUGGCUUUCACCGCAGCCGGUCCAUGCACCCUCACCCCGGCGCCCUGCCAGCACCCUCGUCCCCUUCACCCCUCCUUUCCCGGGCCCGUACAGCCAACGGCCUGGGGUGCCUCUUGGGGCUGUGGAGGGUGGCUGGCUUUCAUCCACAGGAUACAGAGACUGAAAGCUGGGGAUUCCCCGAACAGCAGCCGUAGACUUGCUCGCUCGUUAAACGGAAGAGGAAUCACAAAAACUAGGGAAGGGAGAACAGAUCUUCAAAGGAGAAAUUUGGCUUUAAUGACACCAUUAAUCAUUCAUUUUUUUAAUUAGGAAAAGCUCCCUAAUGAGGUGUUUUUGCCAGCUAAUAGGACUCUCCAUUUCCAUGAGGACCCUUCUUACCCAGAGGAUUAGGGGACUCGUUGCUCACCAAGCCCAGAUAUUCCCCCAGGGUCCAAUUUCGUUUGCAAAUAAUGCAGAUUCCCGGGUGCAGCGGAAGCCCUUUCCUGGAGUCCUUCAUGCUGCUCCCAGGGCUGGCCAGAAAGCACCACACUCCUCUGCCUUAAAAAAACAGUGCCCAACAUUGAAUAUCCGCCCCACCCCCCACCCCCAGGACUUGAGUAAGUGGGAAACAAAAGGAAACACAAGCUGCAAUGUUUGUUUCUAAAUAUUUUUGUAUUGUGUACAUUCUGUAUAUUUUUGUUGUAACAUAUUAUUUGAACACAGAUUCCAUUAAAGAUUUUUUUUUUUUUUAAAGCCAACGGUGACUCGGA
Mustela lutreola (European mink) is the source of this 2532-nucleotide RNA transcript. It is a transcript of the gene named rhomboid like 3, with no coding region annotated. The transcript has 10 exons. Lineage: Eukaryota; Metazoa; Chordata; Mammalia; Carnivora; Mustelidae. The record is from RefSeq and is a predicted model, not a curated record.